GGGCCCGUGGUGUAGUCGGCUAACAUACUGGCCUGUCAAGCCAGAGAUCGCGGGUUCGAGCCCCGUCGGGCCCG
This 74-nucleotide transfer RNA is filed under the name Anaerolineae bacterium. Its description in RNAcentral is "tRNA-Asp". It matches the Rfam family "tRNA". From Rfam's summary of the family: Transfer RNA (tRNA) molecules are approximately 80 nucleotides in length. Their secondary structure includes four short double-helical elements and three loops (D, anti-codon, and T loops). The record is from RNAcentral. Lineage: Bacteria; Bacillati; Chloroflexota; Anaerolineae. RNAcentral also lists the same sequence under 1 other name.